CCCUUAGAUGUCCUGGGCCGCACGCGCGUUACACUGAUGCAUUCAACGAGCUUAUAACCUUGGCCGAGAGGCCUGGGCAAUCUUGUUAACGUGCAUCGUGAUAGGGAUAGAUUAUUGAAAUUAUUAAUCUUGAACGAGGAAUUCCUAGUAAACGCAGAUCAUCAAUCUGCAUUGAUUACGUCCCUGCCCUUUGUACACACCGCCCGUCGCACCUACCGAUUGGAUGGUCCGGUGAAGCCUCGGGAUUGUGGUUCUUGCCGCUUUAUUUUGGCGUGACCGCGAGAACUUGUCUAAACCUUAUCAUCUAGAGGAAGGUGAAGUCGUAACA
Molecule: ribosomal RNA, 328 nt
Filed under: uncultured eukaryote
Lineage: Eukaryota
Description: partial 18S ribosomal RNA
Rfam family: Eukaryotic small subunit ribosomal RNA
Source: RNAcentral